Molecule: long non-coding RNA, 1380 nt
Filed under: Oryctolagus cuniculus (rabbit)
Lineage: Eukaryota; Metazoa; Chordata; Mammalia; Lagomorpha; Leporidae
Description: lncRNA (ENSOCUG00000037060.1)
Source: RNAcentral
GGUCCGCGGGCCUCGGCGCCAGCGCCGCCGACACCGGAGACCCGGGGCUGCGGUGAGCGCCGCGGGCCGGCCGCCGCUCCGCGCUCGGCGCCACUCUGCUCCCGCGGGGCGGCGCUCGCGGUCCGCGGGGCUGUGGAGCCGCGGAGGGGAGGGAGCGCAGUUUUCGGGGUCUCGCUGAGUAUCAGAGAUGGCGGGGUACCGGCCCAGGGGUCCCGGUCCUGCCUCCGACCCGGUUCCGGGAGGUGGCUCUGCACCCGCCUUCCGCGGACAACAGGGACCACGCGGGUCCCCGGGCCCGCCUCCACCCCGCGCCAGGCGAGAUCUCGUCCACAGGCGGGGCAGGGACCGAGCGCCGGUCGCUCCCGACGCGCCGCGGGGAACCAGGCCGGGAAGCUGCGUGGGGGGGCGCCCCGGAGUAGAGGGCCCGGCCCGGCCUCCAGCGGGGCGCGGCCUCGGCGCCCGUGGCCGGAGCCCCCGAGAAUCCCCGCGGAGGCCGCGCCGCCGGUGCUGUUUCCACGGAAUUCCUGGUCAGUUCUCGCCUCUCCAGGGCAAAACGCUGCUUUCAGAACUUCCGGUCGCCCUGCAUGGCUUUUGAAAGCACCGUUAACUCCAGUGGAUCCCAAGGAAAGCCUUAGGCAGCGGCGGCGCCUUGAGGGUGUGACAGAAUCCGAAGCUCCCGGCAGCCGCUCGGCAAACAGCAAGCUGGGCGAGGCCGCUCUGCACACAGGCUUGGAAGCCCCUGGCCCAGCGCUCACCCCGGGGGCGCUGCACACACAGGGAGUCCCACGUGUCCCCGGGCCCAGCCCAGUUCCAUUCCGGACCGGAAGAACCCGCUGCAGACGUGGGCUACGCGAGCCCCAGCCGUAUUCCAGGAGCAGCAUCAAGAAAGCCGCCGGGCCGGCGAGUGAACAACCAAGUCAGCUGCCUGCAGAGCGGACGGUUCCACGCCGCGUGGGGACACGCGCGGGCUCACGGGGCGCAGGGGCGGGGCACUUGGGCGAGAGCUUUGCGUCCCAGGCUGCGUUCCUCUACCUUCAAGGCACCUCUGCCUCCAGGGUGCGGGACGGCCUCGGCCCCGCCCACCGCACGCUGUCAGAAUACAGGUGCAAAUCCUCGGUCCAAAUGCUUGGGACCAGAGGUGUUACAGAUUUCUCAUUUGCUUUUAGUGUGGGGUAUUUGCAUAUAGGUAAUGAGACAUCUUGGGAAUUUGACAGGAACCUAAACAUGAAUGUAGCUUAUUUUAUGGUGGGUUUUUUUUUUUUUUUUUUGACAGGCAGAGUGGACACUGAGAGAGACAGAGAGAAAGGUCUUCCUUUUGCCGUUGGGUCACCCUCCAAUGGCUGCCACAGCUGGCGCGCUGCGGCCAGCACACCACGCUGA